Molecule: transfer-messenger RNA, 363 nt
Filed under: Brevundimonas sp.
Lineage: Bacteria; Pseudomonadati; Pseudomonadota; Alphaproteobacteria; Caulobacterales; Caulobacteraceae
Rfam family: Alphaproteobacteria transfer-messenger RNA
About the family: Bacterial tmRNA, also known as 10Sa RNA or SsrA, is named for its dual tRNA and mRNA-like properties.
Source: RNAcentral
GGGCUUGGAAGGCUGACGCGCCGCGCCUAUAUUAGUGGGGUCCGGGUUCGCCCGGACUAUGGCGAUAAACGCGCCUGCAAUAAGCGGACCGGACCCGGGUGCGAUUCCCGGCGGCUCCACCAAUCUCUUCCGCGUUAUCGGCGGGACUGUGCGGGGCCGACUAGCAUCGACGGACGUGUAAAGAGGUGGCUUUCGCUCGUCCUGGCCCACCGUAUCGGGCCAUUUUCUAACUGCGAACGAUAACUUCGCUGGUGAAGUCCGCCUCGCCGCGUAAUGCGGUUCGGUUGAUUUCGAACACUUAAGUCCCCGGGGUUCAGAUCCCGGGGCGGGGCCCGGGGGUGCCUGGCAACAGAAGCCCCCACU